CAAUAGCGUAUAUUAAAGUUGUUGCGGUUAAAAGCUCGUAGUUGGAUUUCUGUCGGUGAGUUACAGUCCGCCCGCAGCGGUGUGUACUUGUGACGCCACCGGCAUCUUCCUGGGGACUGUGUCUGCUCUUUGUUGAGUGGCGCAUAAUCCAGGACUUUUACUUUGAAGAAAUGAGAGUGUUUCAAGCAGGCAUGCGCCAUGAAUACGUUAGCAUGGAAUAAUAGCAUCGGACCUCGUUCCAAAGCUGUUGGUUUCUUGGACCGAGGUAAAGGUGAAUAGGGAUUGUUGGGGGCAUUCGUAUUACAAUGUCAGAGGUGAAAUUCUUGGAUUAUUGUACGACGAACUACUGCGAAAGCAUUUGCCAAGGAUGUUUUUUUAAAUCAAGAACGAAAGUUAGGGGAUCGAAGACGAUCAGAUACCGU
This 422-nucleotide ribosomal RNA is filed under the name uncultured eukaryote. RNAcentral describes it as "bacterial SSU rRNA". It matches the Rfam family "Eukaryotic small subunit ribosomal RNA", at positions 592 to 1018 of the family's 1831-position model. The record is from RNAcentral.